UGUGGGGUAUAGCUAGAAAGAGAGAUUUCUUUCUAGCUAUACCCCAGCAU
RNAcentral lists this non-coding RNA (50 nucleotides) under Mus musculus (house mouse). Lineage: Eukaryota; Metazoa; Chordata; Mammalia; Rodentia; Muridae. The record is from miRBase by way of RNAcentral. RNAcentral also lists the same sequence under 1 other name.